Molecule: non-coding RNA, 625 nt
Organism: Oryctolagus cuniculus (rabbit)
Lineage: Eukaryota; Metazoa; Chordata; Mammalia; Lagomorpha; Leporidae
Source: RefSeq, a predicted model, not a curated record
CCUCAGUCUGCACUGACCCACGGAGGUCACGACCCAGACUGGACACCUCCCUCAGUCUGCACUGACCCACGGAGACCACGACCCAGACUGGACACCACCCUCAGUCUGCACUGACCCACGGAGACCACGACCCAGACUGGACACCACCCUCAGUCUGCACUGACCCACGGAGGUCACGACCCAGACUGGACACCUCCCUCAGUCUGCACUGACCCACGGAGACCACGACCCAGACUGGACACCACCCUCAGUCUGCACUGACCCACGGAGACCACGACCCAGACUGGACACCACCCUCAGUCUGCACUGACCCACGGAGGUCACGACCCAGACUGGACACCUCCCUCAGUCUGCACUGACCCACGGAGACCACGACCCAGACUGGACACCACCCUCAGUCUGCACUGACCCACGGAGACCACGACCCAGACUGGACACCACCCUCAGUCUGCACUGACCCACGGAGGUCACGACCCAGACUGGACACCUCCCUCAGUCUGCACUGACCCACGGAGACCACGACCCAGACUGGACACCACCCUCAGUCUGCACUGACCCACGGAGGUCACGACCCAGACUGGACACCUCCCUCAGUCUGCACUGACCCACGGAGACCACGACCCAG